UUUUUUUUUUUUUUUUUAAAAGGUUUCCUUCCACCAGGCCAAUUAGAUUUUACAACUACGCAGAGAAAAAUCUUCAAUAUCCAUCCCUCGAGUCCAUAGAGCCUGUUGAUCGGCUUCGAUCAGAUCUCACAGGUGAACGGGAUCGAGAUCCAUAGCUUUUGCUUCUACCACGUUUGGUUGGGCUUCUACCUGCUCGUUUGCUGGAAGGAGAUGCAAGAGGAGAUCUUGAUCUUGACCUUGAUCUAUAAGAUCCAGGAGAUGACCCUGCCUGAGAAUGUGAAGAAACAGAUAAAGAUCGAGAUCGGCGAGAAUAUUUAACCCUAGGAGAUCUGCUCCUCUCGCUAUAGCUACGACUACGACUAUAGCUUUGGCUUCGGCUUCGGCUUAGGCUCCUGCUUCGGCCAUAUGGGCUACGACUGGGACUCCUAGAGUAGCUCCUCCUUGAACCAUACUCCCUUACCCGUACAUAAGACCGAGAAAAUGCAUUUCGAAACUCUGAGUCGUCAAGUUUCUUGAUAGCGCGUUUCAUAUCAUCAUAGUUUGUAUAAUCUACAAUUCCAGUCAUACCACCACGAUCACGAAAGACCUGAGAAAAGCAAACAUCCCCAGCUUGUCGCAUAUGAUCCUUGAGAUCUUGCCAUGAGGCAGAAGAAGGCAAUCCAGUGACCAUAACACGAUAGUCAGAGCGCCUGGAAGGUCCACGGCUUCCGCUGCUACCACUAUAACUGCUAUAACGGUCUCCGGGAGAUGAAUGUCUUCGCCCACCAUGUGCAAGCUCAACUCGUAAGCGACAUCCAUCAAAGUUAUACCCAUCACGACCACGAAUAGCAUCUUCAGCAUCACGAGCAUCUUCAAACUCAACAAAAGCAUAGCCAGGAGGUCUCGGUGGGAUUUUCAAAUCAACAUCAACAAUAGGCCCAUACUUGUAAAACAAAUCUUUUACUUCUCUCUGACGAAUAUCUCCCGGAAGAUUACCUAUAUAAAGAGUGCGGCUAGCACGGCUGCUCAUUUUUUCUCCUGAUAUAAUUACUCAAGAAAAAGAAAAAUUAUACAAAAAGAGAAUUGAUUUUCCCUUCUUUUUUCUGCGAAGAUUAGAUUAGAGAGAAUGGAGAGAUAUUGAAGACUUUGGAUUCUUCUGGAACGCUAAAAAG
RNAcentral lists this unclassified non-coding RNA (1151 nucleotides) under Hevea brasiliensis (rubber tree). The record is from RNAcentral. Lineage: Eukaryota; Viridiplantae; Streptophyta; Magnoliopsida; Malpighiales; Euphorbiaceae.